RNAcentral lists this ribosomal RNA (500 nucleotides) under uncultured bacterium. RNAcentral describes it as "partial 16S ribosomal RNA". It matches the Rfam family "Bacterial small subunit ribosomal RNA", at positions 29 to 523 of the family's 1533-position model. The record is from RNAcentral.
AACGAACGCUGGCGGCGUGCCUAACACAUGCAAGUCGAACGGCAGCACGGGAGCAAUCCUGGUGGCGAGUGGCGAACGGGUGAGUAAUGUAUCGGAACGUGCCCAGUCGUGGGGGAUAACGUAGCGAAAGCUACGCUAAUACCGCAUACGAUCUAUGGAUGAAAGCGGGGGAUCGCAAGACCUCGCGCGAUUGGAGCGGCCGAUAUCAGAUUAGGUAGUUGGUGGGGUAAAGGCCCACCAAGCCUGCGAUCUGUAGCUGGUCUGAGAGGACGACCAGCCACACUGGAACUGAGACACGGUCCAGACUCCUACGGGAGGCAGCAGUGGGGAAUUUUGGACAAUGGGCGCAAGCCUGAUCCAGCAAUGCCGCGUGCAGGAUGAAGGCCUUCGGGUUGUAAACUGCUUUUGUACGGAACGAAACGGCUUUUUCUAAUACAGAGAGCUAAUGACGGUACCGUAAGAAUAAGCACCGGCUAACUACGUGCCAGCAGCCGCCGUAA